This 437-nucleotide ribosomal RNA is filed under the name uncultured prokaryote. Its description in RNAcentral is "bacterial SSU rRNA". It matches the Rfam family "Bacterial small subunit ribosomal RNA", at positions 355 to 789 of the family's 1533-position model. The record is from RNAcentral.
UAGGGAAUAUUGGUCAAUGGGCGAGAGCCUGAACCAGCCAUGCCGCGUGCAGGAUGACGGCCUUCUGGGUUGUAAACUGCUUUUAUAUGGGAAGAAAAAGCUCAUGCGUGAGCAAUUGCCGGUACCAUAUGAAUAAGCACCGGCUAACUCCGUGCCAGCAGCCGCGGUAAUACGGAGGGUGCAAGCGUUGUCCGGAUUUAUUGGGUUUAAAGGGUACGUAGGCGGAUCUUUAAGUCCGUGGUGAAAGCCUGCAGCUUAACUGUAGAACUGCCAUGGAUACUGGAAAUCUUGAAUUCAGUUGAGGUAAGCGGAAUUUAUGAUGUAGCGGUGAAAUGCAUAGAUAUCAUAAAGAACACCUAUUGCGAAGGCAGCUUGCUGGACUUGAAUUGACGCUGAGGUACGAAAGCGUGGGGAGCGAACAGGAUUAGAUACCCCUG